GGAAAGUUAUCGCUGAUAGAGCGGCCCGCGUCUGAUUAGCUAGUUGGUGGGUGCUCACCAAGGCGACGAUCAGUAGCUGGUCUGAGAGGAUGAUAGCAUUGGGACUGAGACACGGCCCAAACUCCUACGGGAGGCAGCAGGGGUAUUGGACAAUGGGCGCAAGCCUGAUCCAGCCAUGCCGCGUGGUGAUUGUAAAGCCCUUU
RNAcentral lists this ribosomal RNA (203 nucleotides) under uncultured bacterium. RNAcentral's name for it is "partial 16S ribosomal RNA". It matches the Rfam family "Bacterial small subunit ribosomal RNA", at positions 201 to 419 of the family's 1533-position model. The record is from RNAcentral.